CCUACGGGAGACAGCAGUGAGGAAUAUUGGUCAAUGGACGGGAGUCUGAACCAGCCAAGUCGCGUGAAGGAUGACUGCCCUAUGGGUUGUAAACUUCUUUUAUAUGGGAAUAAAACAGGGUAUGCAUACCCUCUUGUAUGUACCUUAUGAAUAAGGAUCGGCUAACUCCGUGCCAGCAGCCGCGGUAAUACGGAGGAUCCGAGCGUUAUCCGGUUUUAUUGGGUUUAAAGGGAGCGUAGGUGGAUUGUUAAGUCAGUUGUAAAAGUUUGCGGCUCAACCGUGAAAUUGCAUUUAAAAUUGGCGGUCGGGAGUAGAGUAGAGUUGGAGGGAAGUGUGGGUGAGGGGGUGAAUUGCUUGGAUACCACGAAGAACCCCGAUUGCGAGGGCAGCUCACUGGACUGCAACGGAGAC
RNAcentral lists this ribosomal RNA (411 nucleotides) under uncultured bacterium. Its description in RNAcentral is "partial 16S ribosomal RNA". It matches the Rfam family "Bacterial small subunit ribosomal RNA", at positions 338 to 746 of the family's 1533-position model. The record is from RNAcentral.